UACGUCGAGUGGCGAACGGGUGAGUAACACGUGGGUGAUCUGCCCUGCACUUCGGGAUAAGCCUGGGAAACUGGGUCUAAUACCGGAUAGGAGCCAUUUUUAGUGUGAUGGUUGGAAAGUUUUUUCGGUGUAGGAUGAGCUCGCGGCCUAUCAGCUUGUUGGUGGGGUAAUGGCCUACCAAGGCGGCGACGGGUAGCCGGCCUGAGAGGGUGGACGGCCACAUUGGGACUGAGAUACGGCCCAGACUCCUACGGGAGGCAGCAGUU
RNAcentral lists this ribosomal RNA (266 nucleotides) under uncultured Corynebacterium sp. Its description in RNAcentral is "partial 16S ribosomal RNA". It matches the Rfam family "Bacterial small subunit ribosomal RNA", at positions 87 to 355 of the family's 1533-position model. The record is from RNAcentral. Lineage: Bacteria; Bacillati; Actinomycetota; Actinomycetes; Mycobacteriales; Corynebacteriaceae.